GAUUUAUCUAGAAUGAGUGAAAGAACAAUGUAUAAAAGAAAACAUAGAAGUAUUAAAGCAUCAUUACACAAUGCUAUUUGCCAGGAUGAUGAAAUGCUUGCUAUUGGUAAUUGCCCAUCUGAUAAUGAUUUUGAAUUAUCAAGUGAAUCACAUGCAUGUCUUUUAAGUGCUUUAAAAACAUAUGAUGAGCAAUGUUCAGAACUUCUAGAAGCAGAUAACUUUAAUACUGAUUAUUUAGAAAAUAAAUUGGAACAUUCUUGUACAAAUAAAAAGAAAAGCAAAGGUUUUUUAAUGGAACUUGCUGUGUGGGCUACAGCAACUCAUCAAGCUCGAGAUGCCAUUGCUAGCUUAUUAAAAUUACUUGCUGACAGUGGACACUUUUUGGAUGGUGAAGUACCUGUUGAUCCACGUACAAUUUAUGGCACUCCUAUAAAAAUAAAUGCAGAAAAUAAAUGUGGAGGGUCUUAUGUUUAUUUAGGAUUGAAGGAAUCUUUAUUAUUUGCUCUAAAUGCUAUUGAUGAAAAAUAUAUCAUAUGUUUGAAUAUAAUAAGAAUUGAUGUAAAUAUUGAUGGGUUGCCCUUGACAAAAAGCUCAUCGAAUGAAUUUUGGCCAAUUUUAUGUUCUCUUGUGGAUAUUAAGUGUUCACCAUUUGUUGUAGCUUUAUACUAUGGAAAGAAAAAACCAAAUUCAUCUGCAGAGUAUCUUCUUGAUUUUGUUGCUGAAAUUAAUGACUUAAAAAUUAAUGGUUUUAAAAUAGGCAAAAGAAUAUAUAAAAUUCAUAUUCGAGCUUUUUUAUGUGAUGCCCCGGCAAGAAGUUAUUCAAGGUCAUACUGGAAUAUUCAAGGUCAUACUGGAAAACACAGCUGUGAAAGAUGUACAGUGAUAGGUGUUCAUAAUAGCAACCGUGUAGUAUUUUUGAAUGAUCGGUGUGAAGCUCGAACUGAUGAAGGUUUUCGUAGAAACUUUACACAAAGCAUUACAGUAAAGAUAAAGUAGAAGAUAGUCCUUUAUUGCAAAUAUCUGGACUAAACAUAAUAUCGGAUGUUGCUCUGGACCAUAUGCAUUUAGUGUAUUUAGGAGUUGUACGACGCUUUUUAUAUUUUCUGAUUAUGUCCGGUCGGGCUAAAAUUAGUAUUGCACAACGUAACAUUGUUUCUGAUAGAUUAGUUAGUUAUGCUGAUUUCACUCCUUCUGAAUUUGUUAGAAAACCUCGUUCGUUGUCCGAACUUUAUAGAUGGAAGGCAACAGAACUAAAACAAUUUCUUAUGUAUACUGGUGUUGUUGCACUACGUGGUGUUAUUAGUAAUGAAUUAUACACACUUUUUUUGUCAUUAUCACUUGGUGUUUCAAUUUUAUGCUCCGGGAGUGAUUUAAAAAAUGCCUUGUUAAAUUAUGCUAGGGAUCUUUUGAAAGUGUUUGUAAGAAAUGCAAGUUUUCUUUUUAGUUGUUCAUUUGUAUCGUAUAAUGUUCACAGCCUUAUCCAUUUGCCAGAUGACUGUGAACAUUUCUCAUGCUCAUUAAAUGAAAUCAGCUGCUUCUCAUUUGAAAAUUACCUUCAAGAAUUGAAACGUCUUGUUCGAGAUUCACAUAAAAAUCCUAUUCUAACUGUUUCAAAAAAAAUUUUAAGAGAAAAGACUGUUUUUUGUAAGAAAACCAGAAGAAGAUAGUUUUCCUCAGUUGUCUACCAGAAGGCGUGAUAGAUUCUUUAUGAUUGAUGAUCAAGUGUGUGAAGUUAAACAAGUAAAACCAAAUAAGAAUUUUGUUUGUGACAUUAUAAAGUUAAAUUAUUUGGAAAGCUUUUUUGAACUGCAUGCAGGAAGUAAAAAAUUUAAUAUUUUGUAUUGUCCCAACUUUGCUGUAAUGCAACGCAACUUUGCUUCAAUUUGAACAACAUGACUAUUCGAAAAUUAUACGCGUUACCAUAUAAAGUUAACGACAUGGUCUUUAUUCCACUUCACACUAAUAUUAAAUAAUCACAUGGAUCGCUAUGUUGCAGCAGUGUGGAUUGAAAAGAAGAAGGAAACAGUUGGUGUUAACCCAACCUUGUGGGUGGCUAAUGGCAAAGCUUUUUACCCAUCGAAACCAACUUCAAAGAUUACCGAUAUGAUACGUAAAUGUGUGGCACCAGAAUCAAACUGGUUAGAAUUUCCACUCAUAAAAGUCAAGUAUUCAUGUAAUUCGUACAAUGAAUGUGAGCAUAAUGGCUUGUUGACUACAGAUGACGAUGAAGGCAAACAGAAGAAUGUCAUUAAAAAAAUUAAUCCUUGCAUUAAAUUUGGUGGCAUUGGUUUAGAAGGCUACCCAUAUUUUCCCCCAACCAGCAGCUUAUUAGGGAACAGCAAUACUGAGGUGCAUAACCCUGUUAGAUCUGAAAGCAAUAAAAUUCUUGAAAAAGAAUUUGUAAAUCAAGUUACCCCAAUUGUGUCUUAUCAUGUGGGAAAUAAAGCAGAUUUCACUCAUCAUGUGGACAUUGAAGUUGAAUCAACUUCUCCUUCAAACACAUCAAAAAACAAGGAAAAUGAUUUAUAUUAGUAUAGUUUUAUAAUAUAAAUGAUUUAUAUUAGUAUAGUUUUAUAAAUAUUUAUAUUAGUAUAGUUUUAUAAUAUAAAUGAUUUAUAUUAGUAUAGUUUAUAAAUAUUUAUAUUAGUAUAGAUUUAUAUGUUUUGGACUACACAAGAAGUUUUUCCCUGUUGGCUGACAAUGUCUAAACUUUGUGUAAACUUAUCUUAUAUGUACUGUAUUGCAAUUAUACUAUAAAUGCGUUUCUGUAUUGGGUAAUAUUUUGUCAAACUAAGUUUGCUGUCAAAUAGUAUAGGAUAUGAAUGUAAAAAGUAAAAGGUAUAAAUAUUAAAAUGUAAGCUUUUGUAUUUUUAGAUUUUGUUGAAAAAGUCACAAAAAUAAGAGAUCGAAGCAUUUGUUCAAUAUCUGAUAAUCAGGUCAGAGAGUCCUUUGAAAAACAGCACAAAAAAAGCAUCAUUGAAAAUCGACCUUUAGGGCGUCCAAAGCUGUUAAGACAGGAGGAUUUUCCUGUUGAGAUAGGCAACUUUCAAUAUCGUAUGCUAUAUCUAAUCACCGAUACUAGAAAUGAAAUGAAAAAAUUAAAUAAUAAAGUUAUGUUGAUGCAGAACUACAUAUCUACUAUAAAUGCAGAUGAUGCUGAUUUAAUAAAUAAAGCAGAAACGGUAAUUGAGUUUAAGGAUCUUGAAGGACAUUUACAAAAUACUGACUUCGCAAGGAAAGUUCGUAAAUCUCUAGAAACAAUGUCACUUUCUUGUAGGUCUGCAAAAGAACAUGUUCGAACUAUUAUUAAUUCUGUAAUGUCAUUGCCAUUUCAAGAAAAAGUAAACGUUCUAUAUGGCAAUAAUGUUCCAAAAAAGAAUUAUGUCGACCAUAUAUCUAUGUCACGUGAGUUGCCCUUACUCUUAUCAUGUAUUGUGACUGUCGUUGUUAAAAAAUUCCCAACAAUGUCUGAAAAAAUUGUGAAGAUGGAAAUUUCAGAGUACUUAAAAAAUUCAAAAAAAAGAUAUAGAGUGCAUUUAGAUUGAUAAAACUUUAUUCUCGUAUUUAGAAAGCUGUCUUAUUUUGUUAUUAUUGUUUAGUUUAAAUUGAAUUACAGUCUGCUUUUAGGUUUGAAUAAAUUUACUUGCUGA
Molecule: non-coding RNA, 3650 nt
Organism: Hydra vulgaris (swiftwater hydra)
Lineage: Eukaryota; Metazoa; Cnidaria; Hydrozoa; Anthoathecata; Hydridae
Source: RefSeq, a predicted model, not a curated record